Molecule: ribosomal RNA, 301 nt
Filed under: uncultured bacterium
Lineage: Bacteria
Description: partial 16S ribosomal RNA
Rfam family: Bacterial small subunit ribosomal RNA
Source: RNAcentral
CAGCCGCCGCGGUAAUACGUAGGUGGCGAGCGUUGUCCGGAUUUAUUGGGCGUAAAGGGAGUGUAGGCGGUCUUUUAAGUCUGAUGUGAAAGCCCACGGCUCAACCGUGGAGGGUCAUUGGAAACUGGGAGACUUGAGUGCAGAAGAGGAGAGCGGAAUUCCAUGUGUAGCGGUGAAAUGCGUAGAUAUAUGGAGGAACACCAGUGGCGAAGGCGGCUCUCUGGUCUGUAACUGACGCUGAGGCUCGAAAGCGUGGGGAGCAAACAGGACUAGAUACCCCAGUAGUCCCUGUCUCUUAUAC